This 120-nucleotide ribosomal RNA is filed under the name Propithecus coquereli (Coquerel's sifaka). The record is from RNAcentral. Lineage: Eukaryota; Metazoa; Chordata; Mammalia; Primates; Indriidae.
GUCUACGGCGAUACCACACUGAAUGUGCCCAAUCUUGUCUGAUCUCAGAAGCUGAGCAGGGUUAGGUCUGGUUAGUAUUUGGAGGGGAGAUCUAUAGUUAUUUUAUUAGAAAUUUAAACC